This 377-nucleotide ribosomal RNA is filed under the name uncultured bacterium. Its description in RNAcentral is "bacterial SSU rRNA". It matches the Rfam family "Bacterial small subunit ribosomal RNA", at positions 523 to 898 of the family's 1533-position model. The record is from RNAcentral.
AUACGUAGGUGGCAAGCGUUGUCCGGAUUUAUUGGGCGUAAAGGGAGCGCAGGCGGUUUGUUAAGUCUGAUGUGAAAGCCCACGGCUCAACCGUGGAACGGCAUUGGAAACUGGCAAACUUGAGUAUAGAAGAGGAAAGUGGAAUUCCAUGUGUAGCGGUGAAAUGCGUAGAUAUAUGGAGGAACACCAGUGGCGAAGGCGACUUUCUGGUCUAUAACUGACGCUGAGGCUCGAAAGCGUGGGGAGCGAACAGGAUUAGAUACCCUGGUAGUCCACGCCGUAAACGAUGAGUGUUAAGUGUUGGGGGGCUUCCACCCCUCAGUGCUGGCGUUAACGCAAUAAACACUCCGCCUGGGGAGUACGACCGCAAGGUUGAA